RNAcentral lists this ribosomal RNA (1015 nucleotides) under uncultured bacterium. RNAcentral describes it as "bacterial SSU rRNA". It matches the Rfam family "Bacterial small subunit ribosomal RNA", at positions 28 to 1056 of the family's 1533-position model. The record is from RNAcentral.
GAUGAACGCUGGCGGCGUGCUUAACACAUGCAAGUCGAACGAUGAUCCCAGCUUGCUGGGGGAUUAGUGGCGAACGGGUGAGUAACACGUGAGUAACCUGCCCUUGACUCUGGGAUAAGCCUGGGAAACUGGGUCUAAUACCGGAUACGACCAUUCCACGCAUGUGGUGGUGGUGGAAAGCUUUUGUGGUUUUGGAUGGACUCGCGGCCUAUCAGCUUGUUGGUGGGGUAAUGGCCUACCAAGGCGACGACGGGUAGCCGGCCUGAGAGGGUGACCGGCCACACUGGGACUGAGACACGGCCCAGACUCCUACGGGAGGCAGCAGUGGGGAAUAUUGCACAAUGGGCGCAAGCCUGAUGCAGCGACGCCGCGUGAGGGAUGACGGCCUUCGGGUUGUAAACCUCUUUCAGUAGGGAAGAAGCGAAAGUGACGGUACCUGCAGAAGAAGCGCCGGCUAACUACGUGCCAGCAGCCGCGGUAAUACGUAGGGCGCAAGCGUUAUCCGGAAUUAUUGGGCGUAAAGAGCUCGUAGGCGGUUUGUCGCGUCUGCUGUGAAAGACCGGGGCUCAACUCCGGUUCUGCAGUGGGUACGGGCAGACUAGAGUGCAGUAGGGGAGACUGGAAUUCCUGGUGUAGCGGUGAAAUGCGCAGAUAUCAGGAGGAACACCGAUGGCGAAGGCAGGUCUCUGGGCUGUAACUGACGCUGAGGAGCGAAAGCAUGGGGAGCGAACAGGAUUAGAUACCCUGGUAGUCCAUGCCGUAAACGUUGGGCACUAGGUGUGGGGGACAUUCCACGUUUUCCGCGCCGUAGCUAACGCAUUAAGUGCCCCGCCUGGGGAGUACGGCCGCAAGGCUAAAACUCAAAGGAAUUGACGGGGGCCCGCACAAGCGGCGGAGCAUGCGGAUUAAUUCGAUGCAACGCGAAGAACCUUACCAAGGCUUGACAUGAACCGGUAAUACCUGGAAACAGGUGCCCCGCUUGCGGUCGGUUUACAGGUGGUGCAUGGUUGUCGUC